AAACAGAUAGUUUACACUAAAACAUUUGGUUUCGGCCCAUAAGACAUCACUUUGAUUCUGUUUU
RNAcentral lists this transfer RNA (64 nucleotides) under Asymmetron sp. A TK-2007. RNAcentral describes it as "tRNA-Arg". The record is from RNAcentral. Lineage: Eukaryota; Metazoa; Chordata; Leptocardii; Amphioxiformes; Branchiostomatidae.